RNAcentral lists this ribosomal RNA (696 nucleotides) under uncultured bacterium. Its description in RNAcentral is "bacterial SSU rRNA". It matches the Rfam family "Bacterial small subunit ribosomal RNA", at positions 32 to 715 of the family's 1533-position model. The record is from RNAcentral.
AACGCUAGCUACAGGCUUAACACAUGCAAGUCGAGGGGAAACGACAUCGAAAGCUUGCUUUUGAUGGGCGUCGACCGGCGCACGGGUGAGUAACGCGUAUCCAACCUGCCCACCACUUGGGGAUAACCUUGCGAAAGUAAGACUAAUACCCAAUAAUAUCUCUAGAAGACAUCUGAAAGAGAUUAAAGAUUUAUCGGUGAUGGAUGGGGAUGCGUCUGAUUAGCUUGUUGGCGGGGUAACGGCCCACCAAGGCGACGAUCAGUAGGGGUUCUGAGAGGAAGGUCCCCCACAUUGGAACUGAGACACGGUCCAAACUCCUACGGGAGGCAGCAGUGAGGAAUAUUGGUCAAUGGGCGAGAGCCUGAACCAGCCAAGUAGCGUGCAGGAUGACGGCCCUAUGGGUUGUAAACUGCUUUUAUAAGGGAAUAAAGUGAGUCUCGUGAGACUUUUUGCAUGUACCUUAUGAAUAAGGACCGGCUAAUUCCGUGCCAGCAGCCGCGGUAAUACGGAAGGUCCGGGCGUUAUCCGGAUUUAUUGGGUUUAAAGGGAGCGUAGGCCGGAGAUUAAGCGUGUUGUGAAAUGUAGAUGCUCAACAUCUGCACUGCAGCGCGAACUGGUUUCCUUGAGUACGCACAAAGUGGGCGGAAUUCGUGGUGUAGCGGUGAAAUGCUUAGAUAUCACGAAGAACUCCGAUUG